Long non-coding RNA from Peromyscus leucopus (white-footed mouse), 489 nucleotides. RefSeq lists it as uncharacterized. The record is from RefSeq and is a predicted model, not a curated record. The transcript is spliced from 2 exons. Lineage: Eukaryota; Metazoa; Chordata; Mammalia; Rodentia; Cricetidae.
CACAGAGUCUAUGGUGAAGCCUACCACUCAUGACCCAUCUGUGGCUCAGCAUUCAUAUUCACUUGCUCUCAGCAUUUUUGACCAGUUGUGAAUCUGCAUUAACCACUACCUAUGGACAAAAAAAGGGGGCUUCUUUGACCAAGGCUACUGGACAAAUCUGCAUUGACUGAGGAGUCACAGAUGCUACUGCAAGCUGUGGAAACGAAGGAAAAACUGGAUAUCUUACAUUGUCCCUGGGUCAAAGAGGAAAGCGAGAGGAGAGGUGUCCGUCUGGUAUGGAACAGCAAGAACUGAUCUUGAAACAAUGGCUUUUCCUUCGCCAUAUUUCUCCUGUGUACCCUGUCCCAAGUUGCACACCUGGUACUGGUAGCUGAUUCCAUUGUUGUUCUUUCAGUGUCCUGCCCCCAUCUGUCUUUAUACUUCCCCUCACCACUUUGCAAUAUUUAGAUAACAAAUAUAUUCAAAAAACUCUGAGCAUGUUUGAAAACA